AGAAUCAACGCUGGCGGCGUGCCUAACACAUGCAAGUCGAACGAGAAAGGGGUAGCAAUACCCUGAGUAAAGUGGCGCACGGGUGAGUAACACGUGACUAACCUACCCUUGAGUGGGGGAUAGCUGAGGGAACCUUAGCUAAUACCGCAUAAUACCCACGGGUCAAAGGAGCAAUUCGCUCGAGGAGGGGGUCGCGGCCGAUUAGUUAGUUGGCGGGGUAAUGGCCCACCAAGACGAUGAUCGGUA
Molecule: ribosomal RNA, 246 nt
Filed under: uncultured bacterium
Lineage: Bacteria
Description: partial small subunit ribosomal RNA
Rfam family: Bacterial small subunit ribosomal RNA
Source: RNAcentral